GGAGAGGUACCCAAGUGGCUGAAGGGGCGGGUUUGCUAAACCUGUAGGGGGGAGUAAUCCCUCGCGAGAGUUCGAAUCUCUCCCUCUCCGCCA
Molecule: transfer RNA, 93 nt
Filed under: Candidatus Saccharimonadota bacterium
Lineage: Bacteria; Candidatus Saccharimonadota
Description: tRNA-Ser
Rfam family: tRNA
About the family: Transfer RNA (tRNA) molecules are approximately 80 nucleotides in length. Their secondary structure includes four short double-helical elements and three loops (D, anti-codon, and T loops).
Source: RNAcentral